AUAGACCCGAAACCCGGUGAUCUAGCCAUGGGCAGGUUGAAGGUUGGGUAACACUAACUGGAGGACCGAACCGACUAAUGUUGAAAAAUUAGCGGAUGACCUGUGGCUGGGGGUGAAAGGCCAAUCAAACCGGGAGAUAGCUGGUUCUCCCCGAAAGCUAUUUAGGUAGCGCCUCGUGAAUUCAUCUCCGGGGGUAGAGCACUGUUUCGGCUAGGGGGCCAUCCCGGCUUACCAACCCGAUGCAAACUGCGAAUACCGGAGAAUGUUAUCACGGGAGACACACGGCGGGUGCUAACGUCCGUCGUGAAGAGGGAAACAACCCAGACCGCCAGCUAAGGUCCCAAAGUCAUGGUUAAGUGGGAAACGAUGUGGGAAGGCCCAGACAGCCAGGAUGUUGGCUUAGAAGCAGCCAUCAUUUAAAGAAAGCGUAAUAGCUCACUGGUCGAGUCGGCCUGCGCGGAAGAUGUAACGGGGCUAAACCAUGCACCGAAGCUGCGGCAGCGACGUUUAUGCGUUGUUGGGUAGGGGAGCGUUCUGUAAGCCUGCGAAGGUGGCCUGUGAGGGUUGCUGGAGGUAUCAGAAGUGCGAAUGCUGACAUAAGUAACGAUAAAGCGGGUGAAAAGCCCGCUCGCCGGAAGACCAAGGGUUCCUGUCCAACGUUAAUCGGGGCAGGGUGAGUCGACCCCUAA
Molecule: ribosomal RNA, 689 nt
Filed under: Salmonella enterica
Lineage: Bacteria; Pseudomonadati; Pseudomonadota; Gammaproteobacteria; Enterobacterales; Enterobacteriaceae
Description: partial 23S ribosomal RNA
Rfam family: Bacterial large subunit ribosomal RNA
Source: RNAcentral